UACGUAUGGGGCAAGCGUUAUCCGGAUUUACUGGGUGUAAAGGGGGCGCAGACGGCAGCGCAAGCCAGGAGUGAAAGCCCGGGGCCCAACCCCGGGACUGCUCUUGGAACUGCGCGGCUGGAGUGCAGGAGGGGCAGGCGGAACUCCUGGUGUAGCGGUGAAAUGCGUAGAUAUCAGGAGGAACACCGGUGGCGAAGGCGGCCUGCUGGACUGCGACUGACGUUGAGGCCCGAAAGCGUGGGGAGCAAACAGG
Molecule: ribosomal RNA, 253 nt
Filed under: uncultured bacterium
Lineage: Bacteria
Description: partial 16S ribosomal RNA
Rfam family: Bacterial small subunit ribosomal RNA
Source: RNAcentral